Molecule: ribosomal RNA, 270 nt
Filed under: unidentified soil organism R6-19
Description: partial 16S ribosomal RNA
Rfam family: Bacterial small subunit ribosomal RNA
Source: RNAcentral
GCUACAAUGGCCGGUACAAAGGGUUGCUACACANCGAUGUGAUGCUAAUCUCUNNAAGCCGGUCUCAGUUCGGAUCGGAGUCUNCAACUCGACUCCGUGAAGUUGGAUUCGCUAGUAAUCNCAUAUCAGCAAUGAUGCGGUGAAUACGUUCCCGGGCCUUGUACACACCGCCCGUCAAGCCAUGGAAGUUGGGUGAACCUAAAGUCGAUAACCGCAAGGAGUCGCCUAGGGUUAAACCGAUAACUAGGGCUAAGUCGUAACAAGGUAUCC